CUACGGGGGGCAGCAGUGAGGAAUAUUGCACAAUGGAGGAAACUCUGAUGCAGCAACGCCGCGCGGAGGAUGACGCAUUUCGGUGUGUAAACUCCUUUUAUAUGUCAAGAAAAUGACGGUAGCAUAUGAAUAAGCUCCGGCUAACUCCGUGCCAGCAGCCGCGGUAAUACGGAGGGAGCAAGCGUUACUCGGAAUCACUGGGCGUAAAGGACGCGUAGGCGGGAUAGAAAGUCAGGUGUGAAAUCCUAUGGCUCAACCAUAGAACUGCACUUGAAACUUCUAACCUAGAGUAUGGGAGGGGAAGAUGGAAUUAGUGGUGUAGGGGUAAAAUCCGUAGAUAUCACUAGGAAUACCAAAAGCGAAGGCGAUCUUCUGGAACAAUACUGACGCUAAGGCGUGAAAGCGUGGGGAGCAAACAGGAUUAGAUACCCCUGUAGUC
This 439-nucleotide ribosomal RNA is filed under the name uncultured bacterium. Its description in RNAcentral is "partial 16S ribosomal RNA". It matches the Rfam family "Bacterial small subunit ribosomal RNA", at positions 339 to 795 of the family's 1533-position model. The record is from RNAcentral.